Molecule: transfer RNA, 65 nt
Filed under: Cautires sp. UPOL 000205
Lineage: Eukaryota; Metazoa; Arthropoda; Insecta; Coleoptera; Lycidae
Description: tRNA-Phe
Source: RNAcentral
AUAUUUCUAGGUAAUUACCUUCUUAAUAUCUUCAAUAUUAUGCUUUAAUAUAAGCUAUUAAAAUA